GCAUGUGGGAGGGAUCUGGCUGCAACACGUCACCCCAGUGAUCGCCAGGGUUGAUUCGGCUGAUCUGGCUGGCUAGGCGGGUGUCCCCUUCCCCCUCUCCGCUCCGCGUGCGUCCCUCCCAGAGCUGCGCGCUUGGUGGAAGAGGCCGGCCUUCCCCGAACAGAGACGGACCUGUAGCUAUGCUCCCCCACUAGGCCCUCCAGACAAGCUCUCAAGGCCCGAGACUGCGAGGCUUCCUACAAGUGUGCAUCUGCCUCAAGAAGUGACUCUUUUUUU
RNAcentral lists this small nuclear RNA (276 nucleotides) under Erinaceus europaeus (western European hedgehog). RNAcentral describes it as "7SK RNA". It matches the Rfam family "7SK RNA". From Rfam's summary of the family: 7SK was discovered as an abundant small nuclear RNA in the mid-70s but a possible function has only recently been suggested. Two independent studies have found that 7SK RNA binds the CDK9/cyclin T complex (known as elongation factor P-TEFb). The record is from Rfam by way of RNAcentral. Lineage: Eukaryota; Metazoa; Chordata; Mammalia; Eulipotyphla; Erinaceidae.